RNAcentral lists this ribosomal RNA (253 nucleotides) under uncultured bacterium. RNAcentral describes it as "partial 16S ribosomal RNA". It matches the Rfam family "Bacterial small subunit ribosomal RNA", at positions 524 to 776 of the family's 1533-position model. The record is from RNAcentral.
UACGAAGGGGGCUAGCGUUGCUCGGAUUGACUGGGCGUAAAGGGCGCGUAGGCGGUUCGUACAGUCAGACGUGAAAUUCCUGGGCUCAACCUGGGGGCUGCGUUUGAUACGUGCGGACUUGAGUGCGGAAGAGGGUCGUGGAAUUCCCAGUGUAGAGGUGAAAUUCGUAGAUAUUGGGAAGAACACCAGUGGCGAAGGCGGCUUCCUGGCCUGUUCUUGACGCUGAGGCGCGAAAGCUAGGGGAGCAAACGGG